ACCCUCUCAGGAACGUUCCUGGAGAGUUUCCAGUACUCUACCAAUCUCGGCUAUGAGAGGGAGAGUCAAGCAGAGGCGUAUCCUUUCCAUUCCUAGCUUGGGCAGUGGCUAGCGAGUGGAAGACAGUCUGUUACAAGU
Small nucleolar RNA from Ornithorhynchus anatinus (platypus), 138 nucleotides. Lineage: Eukaryota; Metazoa; Chordata; Mammalia; Monotremata; Ornithorhynchidae. The record is from RefSeq and is a predicted model, not a curated record.